CUUUUCUGCUUCUUUUCCGUGCUUGCUUGGGUGAAGGGCGAUGAGGAGGCGGACGUUUCGCAGCGUCCUGCCGUGGGUGCAGCAGCAGCAGCGGUGGAAGAGCGCCCGGCCGAGCCGGAUGGCUGCGGAGGUGGCGCCCGAGCAGCAGCAGCAGCUGGCGCACGGUCUGUCGCAACAGGGGUCGAUCUACGG
Molecule: non-coding RNA, 192 nt
Filed under: uncultured Pelagophyceae
Lineage: Eukaryota; Pelagophyceae
Source: RNAcentral